This is a long non-coding RNA of Zingiber officinale, 1497 nucleotides long. RefSeq lists it as uncharacterized. The transcript is spliced from 5 exons. The record is from RefSeq and is a predicted model, not a curated record. NCBI's taxonomy places the organism in Eukaryota, Viridiplantae, Streptophyta, Magnoliopsida, Zingiberales, Zingiberaceae.
GCAUUGCAUUGUUUAUACAUGAUUUUUUAGUUUCUACGUGUGUACACCAACGCACGAUUUUGCAAAAGUGUGACCAAAACCCACAAAACUCUCCUCCACCGCUGAAACCCUCCUCCCCGAAACUCAUCCGCCAAAACCCAUCUCCUCCAUCUGCCUGCCCUCCCUACACUCGUCCCCAGCUCCAAUCCCAACCCUCUCCCCGGACUCCUUCCCCGUCCCUUCGCCGCCGCAGCCAUGGCGCAGAAGAUCGGCAAAUCCUUCCGCCGGCCAGGCACCCCCUCCCUCGCCCGGGUCUAUGCCGACAACAACGUCCAGCACCCCAAAAAUUACUGGGACUAUGAAUCGCUCACCGUUCAAUGGGGGGAACAAGAUGAUUACGAAGUCUCCUACAGUAUAGAUGCGAGACCCGAUAGGGUUUAUUGAAACUAGGCAAUAGCUUUUAGCGUUGAAGCCAAGCCACCACAUGAAUUGGAUUGGGUUUGUUGUUGCACACCAUUUGAAUUCGAAGUAAUAACUAUCUACUUGCUUGUUGGAUCUAUAAUUGAAUCAGGAGGCUUUAGCUUUAUUAGUGAAAUGGUGCAGGUAAGUUACUUUCACUUUUCUUGUAAUGCAACAAACAAUGUUGAUUUACUUUGAUGGCUCAAUAUUGUAUCCAAAAACUUAUCUUGUGUGUUUACCAAUGCUAUUGGUAUCUAACUAUAAUAAUCCACUUCCAUAUAUUAAAAGAAACAAAUUCUGCUCUAAUAUUUUUUUUUUCUUGGGCAAACUUUAGUCUCGACUGUGAAAUUAGCUUAUGAUGAAAUCCAACAAACAUUGCUUUGAAGCAACAUUAAGAGAAAUUUGCAAACAUCUUGUGGUAGUAAUUAACAUUAAUAUUUUUUUGUUAUGUUAUAUGAUUUUAUCCUACUUGUCGAGCUUUUAUUAGGAUAUUUACUACUAUUUUAUGUUGUUUGUACUUUUUAGAAAUCAUCUUUGGCAUUGCUGUAUCUAGGUUGAAACAGUAGAUCAGUAUGGUGUAAUCUUUCUUCGUUUUUGCUUUGGGCUUGGAAUUCUCCAUAAGAUUAGGGUUGUCGUGUUGUGACUAUUGGUGGAGGAUUUCUCCAAAUGCUACUAUUCAUGUGCUUAUGCGGUGUAAUUGCAUCUUGUUAAAGCAACUAUUGGGAGGUACAAGAAAGCUUGUAAUGAGAUCCCACCAACUAUUGGCAGUAUUAAAGAACUUGAGAAGUUGGGCCCAAAGAAAGGUGUCAUAGGUUAGUCAUGAAGGAUGUUUUACAAAAUUUAGUGGACGAUGAUCUUGUUACAAAGCACUUCUAUGAGUUCAUUUCCCUUCAUACAAUCUAAGGACUUUUUGCUUUUAUAUAGACUUAAUAUGGAUACAAAGUUAAUUUAUGAAUUAUGUGUACAUAUUUCUGUUUAAAUUGUAUGAAGUUGGAUCAUUUGCUAAAUAAUUGUAUUUUAAAAAAGAUUGUGAAUACUCAGAUGUUUUGUUUGUGGAUA